AAAGAAUUGCCACCAACAACCGCUGCACGUCCAGCUACCCUGUCUGCAGAGCCAGAAAGCAGGAAAGGGCAUUUUAAGACCCUCAUUAUGGAGAUCGAAGAUUCUGCAAGUUGCCAAAUGCCUGGAGACUACAGAUGGGAGACAGGCGAUCACGGAGCAGGAAUCUGACCAGAGGAUUCAGGGAGGAGCUAAUCCAUGUGAGGAAUGCAGAGGAGUCCUUUUGCCAGAUCACUGACCGCACUGCGCACCUGAUAUCC
Molecule: long non-coding RNA, 257 nt
Organism: Myotis lucifugus (little brown bat)
Lineage: Eukaryota; Metazoa; Chordata; Mammalia; Chiroptera; Vespertilionidae
Exons: 3
Source: RefSeq, a predicted model, not a curated record